This 304-nucleotide long non-coding RNA is filed under the name Mytilus galloprovincialis (Mediterranean mussel). The record is from RNAcentral. Lineage: Eukaryota; Metazoa; Mollusca; Bivalvia; Mytilida; Mytilidae.
GCCAAAUGAAUUGAUCACCAGAUGUAACAAAAGAUAUCUUGAUAUUUAUUUAAUCCCAAACAAAAAACAAAUACAAAGAAGAUGAUAUACUACUAACAUAAGGUGCAAACAUUUGUACAUCAUAUCCGGAUUUCGACAAUUAAUGUCUCUUCAGUGAUGUUAGGGAUCGAAACGGUUUUUGGAAGGCCAUACAAUUUAUCUCAAUUAAGGAUAGACUCUUGAAUUUAAAAGAGUCGAAAUAGGUGGAUUGGAUCAUAAUCACCCGACGGAAAAUAUAAUACAAGCCUAAACGAAAACAUAUAAA